GUGGUAGGAGAGCGUCGUCUAUGCGCUGAAGCUGAACUGUAAGGGACAGUGGAGCGUAGACGAGUGAGGAUGCAGACAUGAGUAGCGAUAAAACAGGUGAGAAUCCUGUUCGCCGUAAACCCAAGGUUUCCCAUAGCCACGCUCGUCGGCUUGGGGUUAGUCGGGUCCUAAGGUGAGGCCGUAAGGCGUAAUCGAUGGACAGCAGGUUAAUAUUCCUGCACCGGCGGGUAUUUAGUGUGUGAGUGCGCGGAGAAGGAAGAUGCAUACAUAACGUUAUGGAAGAGGCUUAGUCCACGAGGCGAAGCCCGCAUUGGAAAUCUCUGCCUAGAAAAGCUCAUACACAUUCUAUGCCUGUCGCCCGUACCGUAAACCGCCACAGGUAGGAGGGUGUAAAUGUACCAAGGCGCGCGAGAGAAACCUCUUUAAGGAACUCUGCAAAUUAGCCCCGUAACUUCGGAAGAAGGGGUGCCUCCCCUAGCUUGCUAGGAAGGCCACAGUAAAGGGUGACUGGCGACUGUUUACCAAAAACACAGCUCUCUGCUAAGAUGUUAAGUCUACGUAUAGGGAGUGACACGUGACCAAUGCCGAAAGAUCAAGGCUGUUCUGUUAACGCAGGGCACCCAAGUCCCGGUGAAUGUCGGCCGUAACUAUAACGGUCCUAAGGUAGCGAAAUUCCUUGUCGGGUAAGUUCCGACCUGCACGAAUCGUGUAACGACCGGUCAACUGUCUCAAAGAGGAUCUCGGCGAAGUUGUAAUGGCGGUGAAGAUGCCGCCUACCCGCGGUAGGACGGAAAGACCCUAUGCACCUUUACUGUAAGCUGGUAUUGGGUUCUGGACUGUGAUGUGUAGUAAUAGGUGGGAGACUGUGAGACGAGUUCGUCAGGAUUCGUGGAGUCGCCAAGUGAAAAACCACCCUUUAUUUUCUAGGAUUCUAACCUCGAUUCCUGUUAGCCAGGCGAGGGACAGUGCUUGCGGGUCAGUUUGACUGGGGCGGUUUCCUCCCAAAAAGUAACGGAGGAGCGCGAAGGUACUCUCAGCAUGGUUAGAAACCAUGCGUCGAGCGUAUAGGUAGAAGAGUGCUUAACUGUAAGACCGACAGGUCGAGCAGGUACGAAAGUAGGCCUAAGUGAUCCGGCAGUAGAAAAUGGAAUUGCUGUCGCUCAUCGGACAAAAGGUACGCUAGGGAUAACAGGCUUAUCGCGCCCAAGAGUUCAUAUCGACGGCGCGGUUUGGCACCUCGAUG
RNAcentral lists this ribosomal RNA (1243 nucleotides) under marine metagenome. RNAcentral's name for it is "bacterial LSU rRNA". It matches the Rfam family "Bacterial large subunit ribosomal RNA", at positions 1225 to 2531 of the family's 2925-position model. The record is from RNAcentral.